This 260-nucleotide long non-coding RNA is filed under the name Elaeis guineensis (African oil palm). RNAcentral's name for it is "long non-coding RNA (EGUI_LNC020648)". Lineage: Eukaryota; Viridiplantae; Streptophyta; Magnoliopsida; Arecales; Arecaceae. The record is from RNAcentral.
AGUCCAAAUCUAAAGUUAAGCGUUCAAAUUUUAUCCAAAUCCGAUCUAAAUCCAAUCAAUGCAUUGACUACCUGAUCCAAUCAGAUUGGAUCAGAUCGGGUACCUGAGGGUUUGGGUUUUGUUGCCAUCACUGUCAUGAAAUGUCGAAUCUCGAUGAAUAAUUAUGGCAUGGUUUAUGAAGCAAUUUGUUACAUCAAGUUUGAAUUUAAUGAGGCGGCACGAUGGCUCACCUGGAGAAUGAAUAGCUCUAGUUCGUCCAC